AGCUGCAUUUUUCUACCUUCUGUGAUCAUCUAUCACGUGACAUAAACAUAUUUCAUCUUCGUCUCUUAAUUCGGUUAUUAAAAAAAUCAUGAGUUCCAUCAAUCAAGGUCAUGCAAACAGCAAAAGGAUUUGGUCAUUCAACAGAGGCUCAGAGAUGUUGAGUAUUGCAUACUUUCAGGCGUCUUCAUUAGGCGAAUUUCAUCAGUGGCUUUAUAUUUUUGGCUUACUAUAAAUGUGUAUAUGCGUCAUCAAUACGUGACAUAAGCUUGCUUUCGCUCCACCGCCACUAGAGCUGAAUCAAUUGCACACAUUACAAGCGAAUGUCGACAGUGGGAGAGAUCGAAUGUGAACGGGUGGAUAAGUAACAUCUGUCAAUUAACAGCACACUGUCGCUGAACAUCAGGUGAACAUAAGUCAACUGCAUGCAAAUAUGCAGCAACAAACACUGUAAAUAAAAAGGACAAAUGGAAAUGAAAGGAAUGCGUACGGGAUUUUAUUGGAAAGGAUAAAUAUGUGUAUACAUAUGUAUAUGAAUGCACAUAAGUAUUGCUCAAAAAUAAUGUGCACUGCUGCUUGGAUGGCUGCGCUAAAACUUCUUUUUGACCGAUCGCCUAACAUUAUGACAAUUUAUUUAUUAUGGGCGAUUAGUACUAAUGAGUGGAAGGACGCAAAUGUGAAUAUUUACCAGCGCACUACAGUCGUAUAUGAAAUACCCAUAAAAAUGAAAGGGAGCUGAUUUCAGAAACUCCAAAAAUGCAAGGAAGCUGUAAACUUCUGCUCGAUUUUGGUAUUUUCAAUAAUGAAUGGAAGUUGUAAAUCUUGGACAGAUUUCUGUUGGUAUGAUCGGUCUAUAUUGUUUAAGAUUUAUACAUAAAACAAUAUAGGGAACUUAAAAAGUCACAUAAUCAUAAGGACGAGAUGAAAUAAAAUUAGCAUUGUGGUGCUUUAAGCUCCCAAGCUGACACCGUCGAACCGCUUUAUGCUCGAUCACCUGCUCCAAAAUACGAAACAAGCUGACAAUUGGGAGCGCAUAUGGAAUGAAUUAUUUAUUGAUCUAAUGAUAAUAUGAUACGUGUACAUACAUAGAUGAUAGUACUUAAGAGGCAAUAAAAUCAUUUUAAGUGGCAAUAUAUCUAAUAAAAAUCUAUAAAGUCUGGA
This is a long non-coding RNA of Bactrocera dorsalis (oriental fruit fly), 1158 nucleotides long. RefSeq lists it as uncharacterized. NCBI's taxonomy places the organism in Eukaryota, Metazoa, Arthropoda, Insecta, Diptera, Tephritidae. The record is from RefSeq and is a predicted model, not a curated record. The transcript is spliced from 6 exons.